RNAcentral lists this ribosomal RNA (459 nucleotides) under uncultured bacterium. RNAcentral's name for it is "partial 16S ribosomal RNA". It matches the Rfam family "Bacterial small subunit ribosomal RNA", at positions 338 to 795 of the family's 1533-position model. The record is from RNAcentral.
CCUACGGGUGGCAGCAGUGAGGAAUAUUGGUCAAUGGACGCAAGUCUGAACCAGCCAUGCCGCGUGCAGGAUGACGGCUCUAUGAGUUGUAAACUGCUUUUGUACGAGGGUAAACCCCGAUACGUGUAUCGGGUUGAAAGUAUCGUACGAAUAAGGAUCGGCUAACUCCGUGCCAGCAGCCGCGGUAAUACGGAGGAUCCGAGCGUUAUCCGGAUUUAUUGGGUUUAAAGGGUGCGUAGGCGGUGUGUCAAGUCAGCGGUAAAAUGUCGGGGCUCAACCCCGGCCGGCCGUUGAAACUGGCGUGCUCGAGUUGGAGAGAAGUAUGCGGAAUUCGUGGUGUAGCGGUGAAAUGCAUAGAUAUCACGAAGAACCCCGAUUGCGAAGGCAGCAUACCGGCUCCACACUGACGCUGAGGCACGAAAGCGUGGGUAUCGAACAGGAUUAGAUACCCCGGUAGUC